UCCUCAAUAUUUUUAAACACGUGGCAGUCUUACAUUGGUCCAGAUUAGCCCACCCAGUCAAUUGUUUAAACCCGCCCGACCCAAAUUUAUAACCCGCCCGACAGAACAUAACCUACAGGGUGGUUAGAAUCCCUCUGUCACGCACCCCAAUAAACCCUUCUCUCCCUAUCCUUCCUUCCGAUCUUAGCGCAGCCGGCAAAUCCGUCUUAUCUCCUCUUAAUCUCUUCCCCCAAAGCCCUCGAUUGGAAACUGAGUGAUGUGUCUUUCGAACGGGAAGCUUAUGGUCUCUAAUCGCCAACCUUCGUCGUGCGAAUCUAGGGUUUCAUCGUUGGUUUGCUUUUCUCUGUUAACUCGUAAUUCCAAAUAAGCAAGGUCCCCUCUACUUUUCCAUCAUUUUUCCUAUGUAUUGAUCAUGUAUUCAUUUGGAUCUACGGUUUCAUCGUGGUUUAUUUUUCUCUGUCAAUAUAGUUGUUGCCUUUGGAUAUGUGUUUUUGCUGCUUUCUUUUAUAUAUAAAAAAUGUUUGUACUGAUCUAACAUAAAUUUUAAUUUAUUUCUGAAACUUGGUUAAUUAAAGCAGGAGUUGUGCGUGAAGUAGAGCUUUUUGUGGCAGUCUAUUGCUAAAUCCUAUAAACCACUCUGUAGGUUAUGUUCUG
Molecule: long non-coding RNA, 654 nt
Filed under: Nicotiana benthamiana
Lineage: Eukaryota; Viridiplantae; Streptophyta; Magnoliopsida; Solanales; Solanaceae
Description: long non-coding RNA (NBEN_LNC006785)
Source: RNAcentral